Long non-coding RNA from Capra hircus (goat), 566 nucleotides. The record is from Ensembl. Lineage: Eukaryota; Metazoa; Chordata; Mammalia; Artiodactyla; Bovidae.
UUGGAAACAGGGAGGGUAGAGAAUUCCAGACCUGGCCCCUUAUUAACCUUCCUGGUGUGCCCUGCAACAGCCAAUUCGUUUUCCUUUUCUAGGCCCCCUCAUUAUAUAUGAUACAAGUGGAUAAGAAUAGAAUCUCUAGAAGUCUCCCAGGAAUACUUGGAGAGUGUUUCCCAGAAACACUUCUGUGAAAUCUCAAGAAGGUCAGAAAGUCACCAAGAAGGGAGCUGGGCCACGUUUUCAGCUCCUCCCAUCAAGAGGUGGGGUCUUGUCGAUUUGAUCUGGCCAAUAGGAUGAAACCACAGUGACAUGAGAGCAGGCAUGGGCUGCUGAAGGGCGACAGUUCACGUGGAGGAGAACCCAGGUCCCCCAGCAUAGUCCCGCUGAUCAUCAUACAUGUUAAAGACUCAAGUCAAGACUAGCAGAGUCAUUGACCCAACGUGCAGCUGACCACUGAUGAGGAAGUAAAGCCUUCUGAGUCCAGGAGAGUCAUCUAGGUGACCUAUAGUAGCAAUAAAUGCUGAUUGUUUUAAGUUACUGAAUUUUAGGAUACUUCACUGCACAGUAAU